Molecule: long non-coding RNA, 386 nt
Organism: Zophobas morio
Lineage: Eukaryota; Metazoa; Arthropoda; Insecta; Coleoptera; Tenebrionidae
Exons: 3
Source: RefSeq, a predicted model, not a curated record
CAAUUUUAGGUCAGUAGCGAUCGUAAACGUCCAGAGACCUCAGCCUUAAAAUUUUGAAUGGUACUAUCUCCCAGUAGUAUUCGCAGAUGAAACCAAUAACCAGGCAUAUUUUGUGCCAGGACUAUCCCGACUUUAGCGCUCAAUGUGCUUUGUUUAAGGGACUCGAAGUCGACGAGGGUCGAGGGUACCAGGUUAAAAAAACCGAAGAUUAACAGUAGUUCCAUGUCUAGCUGCACUUUUCCUACAUAUUGUUAAGGGUUCGUUUUCCCUAUAGCUGCUACAAGUAGUGAUCGUACAUCGGAUUGUAAGGUGCGUUCUGAAAAUUUACUAGUUAUAUUACCCAUUGUUGUUGACUACUGUUAAAAUUAAUAUUUGGAUGAACCUUA